UCGAUGAACCAGUGGGUCCUUUUCAACCUAGUGAUUCUAUGAUUCUAAAGACAUGUGCUUGAAUUAAGAAACACUUCUUGGAAAUGCAGUCCAUGGAAGUAAUUUUCACUGUUUUCUUACUGUCUGGCGAAAAUGAAUUGCCUGUAUUUUUUAUCUGCCCUUAUGUUAACAUGAUGGACUGAAGCCUGUAGGUGAAAAAUGAUUCAUUGUGUGGACAAGCUUCUCAUCUUCUGUUGCUUUGUGGAGCAAAACUACAGGGCCAACCAGCAAAGCCGUUGCCUCUCUCCCACCCAUAAACAGAUGUACCUUGAGCACCAGUUUCCAUUAGAGGUGCCUUUCUGCUGUUGAGUUUUCUUACCUAUAAUUGUCAAAACCUUUGAACUAUGUAUGCCUCCAGUUGCUCUUUCGGGCUGGUGACCCCCAGAGUUGCCCUUGUCUUGUGCUGGGGCAAGGUGGGCUGUGACAGAGGCCAUGGAGCAAAGGCAACCCAAGAUGCUCAGUCCCCGCUGCAGUGUGCGAUGUCUUGUGGCGGUUAUUAAUGCCUCUGCUUUGCUUACCCAAGUGCUUAAACGGUUCAAUACACUUGCAGACCUGUCCUUAUACUAUUGUUGGGAAAGAUUCAUUAGGACUUUGGCUGGAAAUUAUAGUGACAGAUAUAGAGCUGGGUAAUUUAUGGUUUUUCUUGAGGGCUGCGCAAUUAUUCAAUAAGUGUCUUUCCUUUCUCUCCCUCCCUCCAGCCACUUGUUGGAAAUAAAUAUUGAAUUUAUUUGCAGAAAAGUAGCUAUUGACAAAGUUGUGAAUGGCUGGAGAAACCUCGUGGGGCCCUUCAGAUAUAUUUACCCACUUUCCUCUGCAGGGACGAGCUCUCUGUUCCUAGCUCUUUGCUGUGCAUGGAUUGCCUCCUCGACAUCAUUUUCACUCGGUGUUCCCCAUCUGCUCCUCAUGAGGCCCCUGCUCGCCCUGGGCUGCCCAGCAAUGGGGACGGUCCCACUGAGGGCAGUCCUAGCCCCCCAAAUCAGGCUCUGGCUCAGUAGUUCCUGCUGGAGGACAUCUGUCUCACGUGGUGAACCUUCUCUGUCUGCGCUCAUCUCAGUGUCUAACGAUGGGCGGAGUCUGCCUGGGCUGCCUCUGGGCUCCUGUCAGGGGAAAGUGGGCUUAAAAGUGCCAUUAUGAGGUGAAGCAACCAGGACAGAGCACAACAUCCUUGAUGAGGAUCCUCCAUGCUUUCAAUGAAGGUAUUGGCGUUAGAGCAUUUUGCCUGUUAUCUCUCCCACUCCUUUGUGUUUUAACAUUUUGUUUGAAUUAGUGGGGCCUGUUCCUCGCAGCGUGCAUGACUACACAUUUGUCUACUUUGGAUUUCAUCCGCCAUUGACUGGCCCAUCCAUCAAGCUCUCUUCAGGCCUUUUGAAGUUCCCUGUAGUCUUCUCUUGUUCCGAACGCUCUGCACAAUUUGGGUCCUCUGCCAGAUUUUUCUUAUGACAUUUUUCAUUCUCCUUUUCCAGAUCAUUAAUGCAUCUCUUUAACCACCGGCAUUAACACGAAAACUUAGGGAGCCUCCCCAUGAGUACCGUAGCCUUCUGGAAGGUAGCUCUCAUUAAUAGAUGCUGGUUUGCCUCUGUUUCCAACCGUUAGAGUUACUUUUUCCAUUUACUUUGCAAACGUUUAAUUCCCCUAAUAGCCUCUUGUAUGGGACCUUGUCAGAGAGCUUUGAAACCCUAAACACAUUAUGUCAAGUAGUUCUCCUUACUUUGCCCUCCUGAUGAUGGGAAAAAGCAUCCUAGCUGAUUAGAGGCACGAACUUCCUUUUAGGAAGCCAGGACAGCUCAUCCCCUUCUUACUUAGUUAAUUUACACGUUUUAAAAUUCAGCUUUUUAUAAGAACCUUCAUCUCUAACCACCGUUUCAAUUCUUGCAGCCUUAAAAAGAGACAUGUCUUUACGCCUGCUGGAGAGCAGACAAUUUCCCUUGCUGGCUCUUUUGUUAGCAGCCAGGUCACUUGGCGAGUAAGAGCCGUCAGAGCCUUUGGGUGUUUCCUUUUCAACUACAGAAGCUUUGUGCUGGACGGACUCAUACAAUCUUUGCUCCUUUGGCAUUGCUCUUUGUAGAAAUACUUCAUUGUUAUCACCUGAAAAUAAUAGGCAUCCCUCUGCUGUCUCUGCUAGGCAUAAGCUGGUUUAAAAGAAACCCUCCUCACUUCUUCUGCAAUGCCUUUGCCUGCCCCGGCUCUUCCCGUUGAACCCUGGCAAUGCCGGCAAGUCAAGUCAUGCACUGGUGCCAAGGAGGGAGGAUGGAGCUGAUAAGAUCCCGGCUGAAGCUGGGCUGUCUCUACAUUAAAGGUACAAGGUAGAAACCUGUUUCGCUCGCUGCCGCGUGAUUCAUGCCUCUUCGCUGCCGUGAAUCAUCCAGGCUGUUGUGUAAGGUUUACGCUGCUCGCGCGGCAGGGCUGUAUUUUCUGUAGCUUUUAUAAAGUUCUGCACAAUUUAUACGUGCUGUUCCUGAUUUAAAACAUUUAUGCUCUUUAUUCAAGGCUUUAGGAUUUAUGCUUCCUGAAUCCUGGAAACCUGGGAAUGGCACCACUGGUGGGAUAAUCCUGGGGCCAAGGUGCUGUUUAUUGUUAUCAGAAAUUAUCCUACUCCACAGAGAAUUCUGACCAUGAGGAGGGGAAAACUGUCUUUCUCUCCACCACCGAUUUCCAUGAAUCUUUAAGCAGGAGGAAUUCUUCCCCUGAAUAGUGUGUAUUGGUGACGAUAUUUAACUCUAAGAAUAUGUGACAGCUCAUCAGAGGAGAGAGCAAGAUGAUUUUGGGGCAGUGGAGGGAAUGCUGAGCACCUUCGCCAGGAGUAGCUGCUCCACGAGGAGCUCCCGCAGCAGCCCUGGGCAGAUGCUAGGCAGGAAAACCAACUGCACUUAAUGAUGGGGUAAACCCUUCCCGUCCUGCUGGGGUACCCUGUGCCUGAGCAGCUGGGGGAAUUCCCGAGCACUGCUGCCUGCCCCGGCCAGGACUUGAGGUUUUGUGUUUUUUAAACAGUGUGUGGCGAUUUUUGCCUAAGCUUUUCCAGACAAACCUUUUGUGCCGUAUUACCUGUCUAGCUGGGCUCUUAUCUCAGUGUUUAUCACUGCCGCCUCUCCCUGUCAGCACUGUUUAUGGGCAGGGGAACCGAAACCCUAUGCUAAGAAAUUUUCUCCUCCUCUUUUCUUUCAAAUCUGCAUCUGUUCCAGACUCUCUUUCAUUAGAGACCACAUGAAAGCCAAAACAAUCCCAGGCUAUCAGGCACAGAAACCUUUGCAAGGUAAACCCUCUUCUGGUAAAUAAGUCACACCCUGGCCUGGGCUCUGCCCUAGCACCAGGUAGGUCCUGUCCAGCCCAUGCCACCUACAUCCCUAUUCCUGCAUACCUGCGAGUCCUCCAGCACCCACUGGGGUGUUUGCAGAGCCACGGUGAAAAUUCAAAGUGCAAAAUAAUGAGAGACCCCAAAGAUGAGGUCUUGCACCUGCAUCCCGGUUGGUGCAGCGAUGGUGCACAGUGAGCGCCCUGGGGGAUUUGAGGGGCAGGGAACUCUCUGCCUCUUUUACCUGUUGUAAAAAUAUUUGUAGAGUUGUGGCAGGCUGUAAAGAGUGAUUUUUGAGGAGGGAGGAGCAGGGCUGAUACCGAUUAGGCAGGAAAUGGCUCAGGGUGGAUGGCAUCCAUAUGGGAGAGCUGAUAGAUUUGGUGUCUCCAAAGGCAUUGCUUGAUGGAUCCACUGAUAACCUGGCAGCAAAACAGAAAUGGUCUCUCUGAUUCUCUGCCAGGAGCUGAGCCUCAGCCUGCUUGGUUGGCCUUUGUUAACACCUUUCUCCUAUGGGAACCUGCCACCCUGCCCUGGGGACCUGUAGCCCCAUUGUCCCCCCAGGAGCCCUGGGAGGGCUCAGCCAGCUGGUCCCCACGGUGCUGCCUGCCAGGGAUGCUGCUCCGGCUCCUUCCCUUUGAAGACUCAGUGUGAAAUCUGGUUGGAGUUUAGGGAGGCAGGAGGGCAGUGUACAGAGCAGCCUGAGUCCUUGGGAUGAAAAAGCUUCAUUUUGCAGCUCUGGAAAGAAUCAGCGGGUUUCCACGCUGGGCUCCUGCCUUGCAUUGGAGACAGAUGGGGAGAGUAUGAAACACAGGGAAGGCAGCCGGCUGCUCCCACCAUGCCAGGGGCUGGCUUGUUCGUGGGCAUGAGUCCUGCUCCACAUCUUUCUCAGAGUGGUUUAAUUUCACCGCCCUUUUCUGCACCUCCACAACAUGCGCCUCCACAAAAGCCUGCAUGGAGGUGGUGUAAAGCUAAUGGCCCAGAUGUGCUACAGGAGACCCUCGGGGUGGCUGAGAUCCCAGCAAGGUCUCUGUGAGAAGGAGGGCUGGUGCAUCCUGUUUCAAAGUGCAUCUCCCUCCCUGGAAGCUGGCAGUGGAAACAAGGGGAAUUUAGAGGAAAAAAAGAAAAUCAAACUGUAGCAGAGUGCUUCCACUUUCUGGAAAUGAAGCAAGAUGGGGGAAAAGUUGAGUUACAGGGUACAGUGGUCCCUUGCAGAGAUGAAUAAGUGGAGACUUCGGAGGCAGCAGCCACUCUGCUGGCUGGUGCUCAGAGCUGUUGAGGGUCUUCAGCCUCUCCCCACCCCUUGUCUACACUGAUAAAACACAAAUCAUGAUACUGAGCCCUGGUAUGGCUUAGCAGGGAAAUUUUGCACAGGGGGGAUUCCCCCCUACAUGCCUGACUCUGGGUAUUAUUCCCCUCUGUCAGUCCAAGUUCUGCUUCCCACACGCUUCCAAACAGGUCCCGUGCAGCAGAGGAUCCUGGCACCCAUCUUCUUGGGCUCACCAGUGCAAUGCUCCCACUAUGUUCCUCAUCCCAUUCCUCCAUCCCUCGCUGGUGCUGCCCAGUGGCACCCAGCACCCGAGGGGGUCUCCUGGUGCAGCGUGGCUCAGCUCUGCCCGUGCUGCUGACAAGUGUGUGCUUGGAGCAAACCAAGUUCUGUGGCAGAAGGUGAGAUACGUAACAGUUGCUUUAAAGCUGCCACAGACUACAGCAAAUUCGAUGGCUAAAAUACAGCCUCUGAAAGCCCCGGCGGCCCUCCUGCUCACUGGCUUUAUCUGUCACAGGAAGAGCUGUUUGCUGGUGCACCUCAGUCACGGCCUCCUCGGCUACAAGUCAGGACUGUAAUUUCCCUGUGGUUAUUUCUAAGAUAACUUAUUUCAGCAUUUUAUGAUGCUUACAAAUUGGACAACAUCUUAAAACAUAAUUCAGGCCUUAACUGGCUUUAAAUGUGUGUGAUUUUACAGGGAUGUGUAAAAUAUUUUUAAGCGUUGGUAAAUUCCAGGGACUGGAGCCUUGGAUGGAUGGGGAAGGAUGGAGGGUUCGGCCCAAAAAGGAUUUUGGAGACCCAGCCUGGGAAACAGCAAUGGGAGUCAUUUAAUAUUGUGAGGAGCUAUGUGGCUGGAGUAGGUCAUAAGGAAUGUAACAAAUUUGGUAUGGGUAGUGAGUAUGCAUCUCCUCUUUCCCAUAAAAUUGGUUUAAUUUGAACAAAUUACCUGUGUGUUUGGGCACUCGACCCUGAUAGGCGAGAGGUGCUGUGGUAGGGAGAUGGUUCCCGGGCACUGGAAAUAAAAGGGAGCAGAUGAUCCAGAGUUGAAGGUGUGUUUCUCAGGAAUACCAACCAAAGCAGCAGCAACCGACUGUGUGAACAGUCUUGUGCCUUUGCGUGAUUUUCCACCGAAACCCUUCCUGCUAUGGAAGGUGGUUGCCCUGGUGUGGGCCAGGUGCUGCUGCCCUGGCUUCUGCAGCACUUGCUUGGCCACCAGCAAAGCAGCAGCCAUGGGUGGGAGGCAAACCGCACCCUGAGAAUUUUGGGGUCCAGAAUGGGGGGUGUGGGGGUGGAAGAGGGCUGCAGCCACCCUGCCUCUUGCUGGGUACAAGUAUGAGAUCUGGCAGAGCCGUGAGGGCUCCCACCAUUCAUGCAAGGCUGUGGCCAGGCGGGGAACCAGCUUCCUGCCGUGUGUUUUGGAGAGCAACCCAGUGAGGAGAGCAUUCCAGAGCCAGCCUACAGGGUGUGGGGCAGGGAUGUUUCUGUUGGGUACUGCCUUCAUUAGUGAGCUGCAGGAGGCACUGCUUCAGCUGGGAUCAGAUUUGCCGAUACUGACAGAACCAGGACUGUUUACACAGUGCAGUCCUGGGCAAAGGUAUCCAGGUGGAUCACAUGGUGAGACCAAGCAGGGAUUUGGUCCUUCUCCUUUGCAAGCAGAAGGGAUGACCCAGCUGGCUACCAUAGGGGAGAAGCUAAGGAAAAUGAUUGUGCAGAGAAGAAACAGAGGGAAAUCCGGAUCCCAAAACAAACAUGAUCCCACAGUGAGGAGUGGGCGCCGCUCUCAGCGAUGCAAUGCUGGGAGCAAAAUUCCUUCCAAGCAGGGAGGAAGGAGAACCGUCCCAAGCAAACUGGCUGUUAUGGCUGGUGACGUCUUGGUGAGCAGAGCUUACAGAGGUGAGAGAUGCACAGAUGUGGCACCAGCCUACCUGCCCUCAUCUCCAGCGCCUGAAGCAGGCAGGGAUCUCUGUGGGUGUUUGUAUUUGCAGAAAUAACACUGUUGUCUUGCUCUACCCUUUUGUGAGGCUGUGGGGAUUUUGCUGAAAUGCAAUCCUAAGGAAGGCCUGGGAUUUUGGCUGCCGUUUCAGGCACAUAAGGAAGAUGUUAUUGUCAAGUGUUCCCCUCCACCCCAGCAGAGCGAUGUUGCAGAGGUUGCCGGAGGCUGCGGGCAGGCAGGGGGAGCUGAUAAUACCCCUGGGCAAGGCAGAGCGGCAGCAGAGAAGCCAAGCGAGUUCUUUGGUGUGUGGUCUGCCAUUGCAGUAGCACUCACGGCCAGGCUCGCCUGGCCUGGCAGCUUUUCUCCAUUGCCGAGCUCAGAUGAUGGUAACUGUCAGUCUCAUCACUAAAGCCCACGUGAGCUUUUCUUCUUUCCUCUCUUCCAAAAAAAGCAACUUCCAGCCCACGGGAGAAAGCUGAUCGUAACGGUGGAGACACUGUGGUGAUGCAUCCUCUCACCAACACCUACCCACGUCUGCGGAAGGAAGGACUUGCCUGGGCAGACAUCCUGGCCAGGCAGCCCCAAGCCUCUGCCACGGGGGAUGGAGUGCAGGGGGAGAAUCCGGCCACAGCUGCCUGCUUUAUUGGCACUAGGAUCUUUCAUAACCCCAUCAGCGGAGGAGGAGAGACUGUGAUUAACAUCCCUCCAGAGCAGAUUGUUUUGGGAGAUGCUGCAGAUCCCUGGGAGACACCCCAAGAAAGCUUUGCCUGAAUCUCCUCGGGGACAGGCAGAGCCAAGGGGAUCCCUUCCUCCAUGCGCAGCCUGCACCCACAAAACGUGCUGAGCUCCUGCAAGAAUGCCCCAGGGGACAGCAAGGUGCUGGGGACCCAUGAAGCUAUUAUUGGGCUCUGGCUUCAUGUUGCCAGCAGGCGCAGGGUGCCCUGGCCACAGCAGCUGUGCACGAGACUCUGGGUGUUAUUUGCUGGAGAGAAUCCAGGGGUGGACCAUAGAUUUUGGGAAGCCUUUCUCCAUUCUGAAGCUCCCCAUUGGGCAGGUUUGUGGGUGGAGGGGAGUGUCUUGGGGACUUAACAAUUCUGGAUGUUUUUCACAGCUCGACGUGGAGCUGCCCCAUCUCUAUAGGGUAAGAGGAGCCCAGAGGCCAAGAACGACCCCGUGGGGGCAAGGGCUGGUCCUGCUUGCAGGAAGAGGUGCAGGAGAGACUCCGGUUGUUGGCGCGGCGGCGUGCUGCAUGCCGGCAGAUGAGAUACGGCCGCGCGGGCGCUCGUCCCUGCCUGGCUCUGCAGACCUGGGGAAGGGCUGGCCCCAUCCCCGCAGCCACGAUUGAUACAGCUAUGGGCCAUCGCUCCCUGUGUGGGAAGGGGAAAUUGCUCGCACAGCAAAGGGAAAUAAACAUGAGGAGACCAGCCCUGACAAAAAAGUGAGUGUUUCUCUAGAUUUGAGGCCCCGCUGCAGGCAAAGAUCUGCACGAUGCACGGCUGGGGCUUGGGAUGAAGGAGGGGAAGCCAGAGCUGUGGUGAUGUCUGUGAACUCCCUCUCUGUUAUGGGGAGUCCCUCCCUCUGGGGCUCAUCUCAGCUUUCAUCGCUGAGACAUCAGAGGGACCAAUGAGGGGGGAGUCAUGUGUUGUGGAAAAGGUCUAAUUGCCUAAACCUUCAAGCGGGGGUGAGGUGCUCCACCAAGUUCAGCAGCAGCCAAAAUGGGCUGAGUGCUUUCCCCAGGGAAGGGGUUGUCACCUGAAAUUGCAGUGGCUAAGCACACAGGUCUCGGUGCCCAGGCUCAGAUUCGUGUGACUCCCUGCUCUAUCCUUGCCUCCACCCUUCAACUCUUUCUGCCCCAUCCUUUGGCACAGGAAAAGUCCUUCAUAAGGUAGAAGGUCAACUGAGCCCUUUCAGCCGGGAGGGUGCUGGGCUCGUGGGGUCCUGGGCUGGCCCUGUGUGUGGGACUCACCUUCACUGACGCUGCCCUUGCAGGAGCAAGGGGCUGCAGGGCUGGCAGAGAGGUCAAAGCGGCUGACCCGGGCAAGGAACACCAGAAAAGUCCCCUAGGGAGGAAUUUUUUUGUCUCAGAACAGUCUAUGUUUCCUUGCAGGGACUGGAAGAGAAAGAGGCACUGCCAGCUGGCUGGACAUGCUGGGAAUGCCAUGGACGUGGCAGGCUGGGGUGGGGACUAGAGAUGUCAGGCAGCUGUAAAGCUGUAAGCAAGAGGAUUUGAACAUUACUCAGGAGCUGGAAACAGGGGAAGCUGGUGAUGGUCCUUAGAUCUGAGAGGGGUGUUGUGAUUGGUUGCAAGCAACCAGGGGCUUUGCCCCAUGAGGUGGAUGCUGGGGCAUUGGGAGCCUUUGCCAGCAAGUGAAGCCAUGUGAGGGGCUGAGCUGGGGAAUUGGGAGAGGGCAAAGUGUUGGGAGAGACCCAUGGCCAAGUGGGCGGGAGGCUGUUUAGGGUGAUUGCUGGCUUUACUAGAGAGGAGGGGUCCACAGUGGCUGGCAAGGCUGACCCCCACCAGGGCCCCACGCAGCCUGGAGCCCAGCCAAGGUAAGUCCCAAGAUGAGUUUGCAGCAGAGGUGAUAAACUCAGCGUAAGACUGCAGGGAGGAGUGAGGGAGGGAAGAGACAAGGAGGUUUUACAGAUGAGCUGAAAGCCCCAGAAGCUCCUCUGUCAUCCUGCAGGACCAGUGUCUCACCUGGGUAUUGGCAACCUGCUGGCUGUUCCAAAGAGAAAUGGAGAGCUGGGAGCAGGGCUUCCCAUCCCUUGCUUUAAAACACAGCCUUCAUCCUUAGCUCUGAGGCAGAGAGCCCUGUGGUGCAGGCCAGCACUAGCUCCCCAGUUCCACCAUUAGCUCCCACUUCCUUCAGCAAUCAUGCAAGCCAGAGGUCCUGCACUGCAGGGAAGGGUGAUUUUAGGAAAGAACUCAUGUCCUUCUAAAGUUUUCUCAGUAAGUGCUUUUUAUCCCUAUGUUCCUCCAUGCUCAAUACAUUUAUCUGCAGGAUUAAAGAAGCUUCUUGUAGUAGCUGGGAAAACUCCUUGCCUGGGGCUUGCCUGAGUUCAGGAGCCUCCAGCUCCCACCCUUUAGCCCUAGUGCAGGAUGUCAAGUGGUACCUUGCUUCGGGAAACUGGGAAGAGUCGAUGAGAUGCCUUGAGCCCAUGUGUGUGUUGGAGAGGGCUGUUCUUUUGGGGAUCAGUUUUACCCUCCCGAAGUUUCACAGCUGCAGUUGGCAGUAGCCAGAGCUCUCCCUGUUGGGCGGCUGCAUGCUGACUAGCCACAGCCUGGACUUUCUCUGGAGAUUUUAGAUGCCCCAGCCCUGUGUUCAUUAGCAUAUAGCCAAGGUUAGCCUGAGACUUGAGGCAGUGGUUUGCUCCAGCAGUGCAUUACCUUCACGCGUUACAAAUCAGAGCCGAAUUUCUCAGUGGUUUUGGCAGCAGGCAGGUGCCUGGAGCACGUUGCAGGGAGGCAGAGGAGAGGGGAGGAAAGGGCUUGUGGGGGAGGCAACAGAGAUUGAACAGGUGAACUUCACUCUUCCAGCUCUGCAAAAAAAGCUCCUACUCCUGAUCGGGCAGCAUUUGUACCAUUAUUUUGCCUUACUGCCUUCUGCAAUGCCACGAUUGUGAUUGGGUGCAUGGGCAGCACCAGUACAGAGCAUCACUGGAAUGGGGGUGCUUUUCCUAAAAGUGGCCCACGGUGUGCACUCGGGCAGCCUGGACUGAUGGGUCGGGAUGAGCAGUGCUUGAUCAUCCCCCAUGUAACUUCUAGAGAUGCCUAAAUAAUUAAUUAACAGUUUGGGGAAAUGAAAAUAUUGUACGGUGAGUAAUUGCUUGUGAAUGACGUUGUGCAUUGCUCAGCAGGUCACAGGUGGCUGCAGCAGCGCGGCAUUAGCAGUGCUGCGUGGUGCUGAGAGUUUCCUCUGAUUUUAUUUUCCUUUUUAUUUUUCUUUUUUCUUCCCAUGUGAACUUUCCUGCCUCUGGCUCCAAGCAGACACGAAGGCCUUUUGUUUCCCAGGGAACUGGGGUGAGGUGGUGGUACUGGAGUGUGGGCUGGUGACACAGGAUAUGCAGGGAACAGACAGGGACUCAUAGGAGCACCGCAGCCCCGCUCGGCCCUGCUCUUUGCAUUGCAUGAGGGAGAGAAGGGGCCACGGGGAGAGCAGCAGUCCCUUCCCCCAAAACCCCGUUUCCAGCAGAUGGGACUGGUGGCACUAUGCCAGGCAGAGCCCUUCCGUGGCGGUCCACACACACUGCUGACAAAGGGCUGCAGGCAUCCUGUCCCAGAUCCAUGUGUGGGCAGGGGGAGAGCCCAGGAGCCUGAUGCCGAUAGCGGUGACAAGGGACUUCUGUUUCUCUGAAGGGACCUGGGAAAUGUCCCCGACUGCCUGUCUCCAGCGUAUCGCGGUGCCAGAGGCAGUGAGCUGAAAGUAGAGCUGUGGUUCCCUGUGGGUGUCCUGGGGCAAGGAAUAGGAACGCCCCGCACUUCCCUCCAUGGGUCCAGGCAAACAUAGCACCCGGGCUGAGCUUUAGGCACAAUCGUGAGUUCGUGCCCCAGCAUUAAGCUGUGGCUUGUGUGGGCUCCUGGAGGAAGCCCGCACUGCAUCCUCCGUAGCUCCCGCUUGUCACUCCAUUAAAUUUCCAUUUUAACAUGGAAACAGCUGGUUUCAUGGUACCUCUAACUGUGUUAUUUACACAGUCAUGCACACAAUCCCGGCUGAAAACCGCAUUACUCACUGUGACAGCGACCCACUGUCUUGCAGGUACUGUGUGGGUGGGCGGGGAGGUGCUGCCAGCCCCUGGGUCAAGCCACCAGCCGCCUUCUUGCCUUGCCCACGGCCACCCUGGCAGCUUGUGGUGAAACCUGGCCAAUUCAACAGGGGCAAACCCAUCUCGGAGUCCUCUGGUUCAGCCUGAGGGCAGGAUCAGCCCAUCUCCAUUCACACUAGUUUGCAGCUCCCCAUGAACCUGGCCCUCCAUGCCAGCGCUGAGCUCCAAGGAUGGGAUGCCUGAUGCACAUCAAGGGACAGAGACAACAACCGUUUGCCAUGCUCAAUAGUGCUUUGUUCUCAGCCUGGGAAGCAAUGAAAAUCCUUCCACUUUGAAGCCUGCGGAGGCCUUUUUAUUUCAGCCAGGGCUCCUGGAGAAAAGGAACUGCAAGUGUUUUCCCAUAACAUGAUAAAAAGUUCUCCUGGCUGAGACCAUAGCAACUCGUUACACGUGAAAGCAGUGAGUCAGUACAGCAUGGGGCUGAGGUCAGCGCUUACGCAGUUGCUGGAAAUCGCUGGGCUUUAGGGUGUAUGUAACUGGCAUUUGGGAAAGCCUAGGUACAAGUCUUGCUGACUUCCCGGUGACUGCGCUCCACCUGGAGACCUGGCAGUCAUGGUGCAUGAUGGCUGUGGAGAGCAGUGUGAGGUGGUGGGCACAUCCUUCCCCAUGACCCCACCAGCAGGUAAGUGCAAAGCAGAGCUGAGCCACGCACGUGUCAUGGCUUUGCAUUUUAACAGCAGCAGGCUGUUGUCUAGGAACAAUAAAAACGAUCCCCUAGAAGGAAAAGCACCUAGGAGAUGAGAGGCAUUUAGCUCGACUUGGAAGCAAGGCUGUGAUUUACAGUGGCCAUAAAGCAGCCCAGCAUGGGCUGAGCAGAGGCCUUCCCCCAUCACUGCUGUCUGGGGAGCACAGAGAGGUGCAGGUCACGCAGCAGGAGAGAGCCCGCAAGCAUCCCAUGUUUGUACCCCACAGUGAGCAGCUGUGGGCAAGGGCUGGGGUGCAUGGCAGGAUCCCCUGUGUGCCCCAGGGUGACACGUGUGGCAGCAGUGUUCCUGAGGACAGGGGCUGCCAGGAUGUCUGUGGCUGUAUAGAGGGGGCCUGGGAUUGCUUCCCAUCCCUUCCCACCGUGCUGGGGCACAGUGGGUCCUCGCUGGCACAGCCCCAUCUAGGCUGGGAAACUCCUAAACCGUGAGGCUGGCCUAAUUAGUCUGUUUAAUCUUUCUCCAUAAAUCACUCCUCCCCAUCCCCUGCAGACUAUCGGCAGCAUCUGAAGUCAUUAGUUAAUUUAAACCUGGGAGCUGACUUAUCGGAAGCCAUCUCCAUUCCCGCUAAGCGCUUGCUCGGUGCCUUCCCUGGCUGCUAGAUCCUAUCUGCACCCACUUUGAAGCGGUGAGGGGCUGGCAAGCAGGCGAGGCUCUGCCUGCUCCCCUGCCUGCUGGCAGGUGGGAGGAGAGAUGGAGAGCUUGUUUCUCCCCCUCCCUGUGCUCCCCUUUUUUGAACUUCUCUGACUCAUCCGUUUGAUUUGAUGUUUUCACCUUCGUUUUACAAAUAGCAGUUUGCCCAAGCGCUGGAAGGAGAAGGAGGCUCUGACGCUGCUGCGGCUUCCCCGGCUGCAAGGGGAGAUGCCCAGGUCCCCAGGGCGGGCUGGCAGCCAGUGCCUCUGCAGGUCACGUCUGCUGCCGUGCCUCGCUGCCAGGCACCCUCCUGUUGCUGCUCCUUGUCCCCCCGAAGCCUUACUGCCUAACACUGCCCAGCAGACAUCUCACCGAGCGGAUACCUGCAUUUGAUGAUUUUGCUCCAGGCAUACCAGCUGCACGAAUCAAAGCUCAACCACAUCUUAUCUGCUGGCUGUGUUCCUGCUUGCUCCCAGUCCAAGAGUCCCACCUGCGGGGCAUACACAGCGGCUCCCCAGCACCGUGUGUCGCUGUGGCUUUGAGGUAUUGCGUUUGGGGGAUGGAGGGAGCCCCAGGUUAGGUAUCCAAGCUGUGGGUUGGAGGGGCUGGCACAGCAGGGGCUCUGUCUGCCAGGAGUUUGCUGGUCAUUACUAUAAGGUUAGCCUUAAAUAAUGGGAAUAAUAAACAUACAGCAGCCUGGAGGGAAGAAGAGAGCAAACUGAAUCCUAAUGACUUUGCACGGACGCAUCAGCAUGAUCAUUUCACAGAAAUCAUUUUAAAAAGGAAGGAAAAAGCAUAAAGUUUAGGUUGAAGGACGUGGGACACAGCAGCCAGGGUGUAGUCCCAUGUGGUCAUGGAGGUGACCCUGUGCCCCUGUCCCCACCAAGGUUCCCAUGCCGUGGAGCUGCUCCUGCCCUGCUGCACUGGGUAAGGUCCAGGGCAAGCCCUGGCUGCAGAGGGAGUUGGAAACAGAUCUGAAGGAUGGAGGGAGGAGCUGCGGGGUGGGGACUGGCAUCUUGUCAUCAGCUUUGCUGAAACUGAGUGUGAUGCAUGGUGUGAAGGAGCAGGACGUUUGCUUUUAGGGAUGGCCAAAAUUUACCAAGAGCUGUAGUGGCAAACACCGAAAGAGGAAGUUUUAGAAGAGAAAUGAAACGUUAAUGCCUCAGGGCUUAAGGGUGGUCCUCAGUGCCAAGGCAGGAAAGAAAUUAGUGCUAUAGAUGGGGAAAUAACCAGCAUUAAAUGGAAGCAGGGUGACAGCAGGUUGAAGGGGGCAAAAGGAAGAGGAUAAAGGGCACAGGAGCUCUCCAGGAGAUAGCAGGGACUGAGCCUGGAGCACCUUCAAGAUGCCUCCAGCACACCAAGCCCCAGCAGUACCCAGCACAUUUCCAGGGGAAUGUGCCUGCAACGCCCUAGCCCUCCACCUCGCCCCGUCUCUCGCUGGCCAUGGGCCAGGUGAAAGGCUCCCACAAGCACAGCAGGGACCAGUCCAACCCUGCGCAGCUCCAAUUAUCCCAGGCUGGAGACUUUCCAGGAAUCCCAUCCUCUCUCUCUACCCUGAUUCUGCCUCCCCAGUCUCCCCCCCUCAAAGCAAUUCGACUUUUAUAGUAAUAACUUAUGAACCCUGAGUUGGGGUUGUGCCAAGGAAAGCAGCAGAAAACAAUGUGAUGGGCCUCGGCAGGCGCGGAAACUCCAGCGACUGAGACCAGCCCUAAAAUAACUUCUGAGCAAUUGUUAUUUAUUCUGGGAGAAAGUUCGUUCAUUCACAAUUUGGAGGGAAGAUGAAUCAGGGCGGGCUCAGGCUGCCUGCCCCCGCACCGAGGCAGCACGCCACAGCUGAGAAUGCAGGGUGCCUGCAGCACCAGGCACAGCCAGCUCACCGCAGUCCUCCUGCACGCGUGCAUUCCCGUGCCCUGCUGAAAAAGCCACACUGCUGUUUUUUUGUUUGAGUUUUUUGUUUUGUAUUUAAGGGUAUUUGGGUUCAACUGAAAGCGCUGGGUUUAGAUGAAGGAGUUUGGCUUGAAGCACGUGCCACCAAGUGCAGUGGACUGUGUGCCGCAUGUGUCUGUGCCUGCAUGUGUUUCGGCUUCCCCUGGCACGCUGUGUGGUGUGAAUGCUGUGCUGCAUGCCUCUGGCUUGCACACCUGCCCCUGAGUAGAGCACACUUGAGCCAUCAGCGUCUGACAGGCAGUGGGUGGUGCAGGCAAGCGCCAGGCAGGAAACACAGGCAGCAUCCUGCUGCGGGUCCUGGUGAGCAUCAGCAUGUGCACAGCAGCUGCCAGCCUGCAUUGUCUGGGCACAUGGCGAGUGAAGUGACCUCAGUAACGGAGUGCCAUUUUCACAGCUCUGAGCCUUACACAGCUUCCCUGCAAUCGGUGAGGGAUCUGCCAGAGCUCCUGGCUCCACUGGAGGAGCCUUGGGCAGGCAGGGAAACAACAGUCACUUUCUCAAUUGAGGAAAGUACUCUUUGGAGGAUGCAGCCAGCCAGCAAGGCAGUCCUCAGCACUGCCACGCAUCUGCUCGUGCGGAUGUGUUUUAUGGUACCUGUCAUCACUGUCUGGGUGCCAGCCCGAGAUCUGAAGCAUAGCAGUGGCUUUGCCAGCCAGGACUCAGGCUGCCUGUGCACCCCGGGGUGAGAAGUUUCGCUCUCUGGGCAGAUUUGGAGAGUUAAUGCUGGGGAAAUACUGCUGUCUGCAGGCUGAGAAACAUGGUCUGUCCCUGCAAUGGGAUGAUGGGGGUGACAGAGACCUUGCUGCAUCUGUGAGCACAUGGGUGGGAUGAGGACAGACAGUGACCCGGGUGGGGAUGACAGGCAUCUCCAGGUUUGUGUGCGAAUUAUCUCCAGGAAGGAUAUGCCUCCAAGACCAUCUGCCUCCCAGUAUCCCCAGGGCAAGGCUCAAUCUUGCUCCACCACGGCACCAGCCAGCUCAGCCACAAGCGCAUGGUGGCAGUGGGACACAUCACCUUCGGCACCCACCCUGCACAUCAGCUUCUGGAAUGUGCACAUUUCUGGAGUGGGAAAACCCUGCCACGUUCCUGCACAAGGCCUGCAGGGCUUGUCCAGGCCACCCCCCUCCUCCUGCUGCCUGCAUUCCAGGGGACUUUGCUGAGUGUUACCUAACGUUUUUGCAUUUUGGAUUUUUCUGUGAUGUGUGGACACAGCGGAUCUGGGGCCCCAAAGCUGCAGAAGAGACUCAGCCUGGUGCUGCCAAGGGAGUGAUUCGGAUCUGUCCCUUGCUGGGCAAGGAGAGCACAAGUUUGUGUUUAGCAACACAAACAGCCUGGUACUGGAUAAACUGUGGCUCGGCUGACCUCGCAGCACAGACCAGGGGGAGAGCAGCGUUGAGGCUGGGUCAGACAGCGGGCAGAAGCAGCCCUCCGGCUGCACGGCACACACAGCUUCCUUUGUGGCACCGUGCCUGCGAUGGUGAGACUGGCCCUGCUGGGCGACAUCUCUCAUCCUGCCAGGCAGGAAAGCCUUCGGCCCCACACUCCUCCUCACCUCGCCACAUCCCCUGCCCUCUGCCUGUCCCCUGCCCUCUGCCCUGCCACCACUGCAGGCAGCCCCACACUUGCCAGCUGACUUUCAUGCUCACAGCUCUUUGGGCUCUUUGAGCGGCUCAUGAUCUCGGCAGGCAGCUUGGGCUCUUACUAGCCGUUAUUGCAAUGAUUAUUUUUGUUUUUCUGGCUCGAAAGGGCUCUCCUCUCGCCUCGGUCCCACCUGGCUCUGAGCUCUGAGCCAGGUGGGUCUGAGCAAGGAACAAGGAGAGUGGGGAACACCCUGCACUGCUGGGGCAGGGAACCAUAGUGGGAUGGAAGAGACAAGGCACAGGUGAAAGGAGGUCUUGUUCCUCCUCCUAAAGGUUCAGAUUGGAAAUCAACACCCACUUGGUUAAUUUAUUAGCUUUGAUUAGUGACUCUGAAGCUUAGAUCAGUUAAUGGGCUCCCUCCUGCUGGUAAAUCUCCAAGAGAAGCUCAGUGAGGUUAUCUGCACCAGCAAGGGUGAGAGAAGGAUGAGGAUGAGAGCAAUUGAAUUAGGAAGCUGUUAAUCAGAGAAGCUAAAGUGAGUCCGAGCUGGCACAAUGCAAGAUGGCAGGGCAGAGCACUGCGCCACAGCUGUACCCAGCUGCAUCAGGGCUGGGGAGAAGCUCCCCUUGGACACCAGCUUAAGCUAGGGUUUGGUAUUGUAUUUGCUGGCCCUAUCCCUUGCAGAUCACAUCACCAAUACCUCGUUCUUGCCAUGCGGGCUGCAUCUUCCUCCAGGUAGGGUUCUUCUGUGGCUUGGGUUUGGUCAUUGAUUAAAUUAGCUGAGAAGUAAUCUAUUUCUGAUGAUAAUAUGAUGUUGUGACCUUUAGUGUUUUCAUUAAAAUAUACAUGUAUAUAUUUGUUUUCUGUGGUUAUGAAUGUAAUUCCACAACCCACUUAGGAGCCAGUAAUUUUCUGGCUGAGGUGGGAAGUUGCUGACAUCUUGUGAUACAUGACAAGAUUGAUUGUAUUUGCUUACCCCUUAACCUAAUAAA
Long non-coding RNA from Cuculus canorus (common cuckoo), 17200 nucleotides. RefSeq lists it as uncharacterized. The transcript has 3 exons. Lineage: Eukaryota; Metazoa; Chordata; Aves; Cuculiformes; Cuculidae. The record is from RefSeq and is a predicted model, not a curated record.